RNAcentral lists this ribosomal RNA (469 nucleotides) under uncultured bacterium. RNAcentral's name for it is "partial 16S ribosomal RNA". It matches the Rfam family "Bacterial small subunit ribosomal RNA", at positions 28 to 507 of the family's 1533-position model. The record is from RNAcentral.
GACGAACGCUGGCGGCGUGCUUAACACAUGCAAGUCGAACGGAAAGGCCCUGCUUGCAGGGUGCUCGAGUGGCGAACGGGUGAGUAACACGUGGGUGAUCUGCCCCUUACUUUGGGAUAAGCCUGGGAAACUGGGUCUAAUACUGGAUAGGACCAUGCUGUAGGUGGUGUGGUGGAAAGAUUAGUUUCGGUAAGGGAUGAGCUCGCGGUCUAUCAGCUUGUUGGUGGGGUAAUGGCCUACCAAGGCGUCGACGGGUAGCCGGCCUGAGAGGGUGGACGGCCACAUUGGGACUGAGAUACGGCCCAGACUCCUACGGGAGGCAGCAGUGGGGAAUAUUGCACAAUGGGCGCAAGCCUGAUGCAGCGACGCCGCGUGGGGGAUGACGGCCUUCGGGUUGUAAACUCCUUUCAGCCAUGACGAAGCCCUUGUGGUGACGGUAGUGGUAGAAGAAGCACCGGCUAACUACGUG